Molecule: non-coding RNA, 111 nt
Filed under: Chloropicon mariensis
Lineage: Eukaryota; Viridiplantae; Chlorophyta; Chloropicophyceae; Chloropicales; Chloropicaceae
Source: RNAcentral
GAGAGAGAGAAGAAGGGACGGAAGAGCUGCGACGUCUCUCUUCGGACGCUAUUUUCCUUCGUGUUCUUUCUUUCUUUUUUUGUUUUUUUUCCGGCUUCGUAAGGGAGCCAC